This 436-nucleotide ribosomal RNA is filed under the name Cryptocephalus labiatus. Its description in RNAcentral is "partial 16S large subunit ribosomal RNA". It matches the Rfam family "Bacterial large subunit ribosomal RNA", at positions 1826 to 2523 of the family's 2925-position model. The record is from RNAcentral. Lineage: Eukaryota; Metazoa; Arthropoda; Insecta; Coleoptera; Chrysomelidae.
GGCUUUUUGAAAAUAAUUUAAGGUUGUGCCUGCUCAAUGACUGGAUUAAAUAGCUGCAGUAUCUUGACUGUACUAAGGUAGCAUAAUCAUUAGUUUCUUAAUUGGGGACUGGAAUGAAAGGUUUGAUGAGAAAAUAACUGUCUCUUUUAUAAAUAUAGAAGUUUAUUUUUGAGUAAAAAAGCUCAAAUUUUUUUAAAAGACGAGAAGACCCUAUAGAGUUUUAUAAUUAAUUAAUUUUUUUUAAUGGAGAAUAAAAAUUUAUUUAAAUUAAAAGGAUUAUUUGAUUGGGGUGAUUAAAAAAUUUAAUAAACUUUUUUUUACUGAAACUUUAGUUUAAGAUUUACUUGAUCCGUUUUUAACGAUUAAAAGAAUAAAUUACCUUAGGGAUAACAGCGUAAUCUUUUUUUAGAGUUCUAAUCGAUAAAAAGGAUUGCGA